AGUAACGCGUGGGUAACCUGCCUUAUACAGGGGGAUAACAGUCAGAAAUGGCUGCUAAUACCGCAUAAGCGCACAGAGCUGCAUGGCUCAGUGUGAAAAACUCCGGUGGUAUAAGAUGGACCCGCGUUGGAUUAGCUAGUUGGUGAGGUAACGGCCCACCAAGGCGACGAUCCAUAGCCGACCUGAGAGGGUGACCGGCCACAUUGGGACUGAGACACGGCCCAA
This 225-nucleotide ribosomal RNA is filed under the name uncultured bacterium. RNAcentral's name for it is "partial 16S ribosomal RNA". It matches the Rfam family "Bacterial small subunit ribosomal RNA", at positions 109 to 334 of the family's 1533-position model. The record is from RNAcentral.